GAUCAAGUGUCUUAAGGGCAAUUGGUGGAUGCCUUGGCAUGCACAGGCGAUGAAGGACGUGAUACGCUGCGAUAAGCUA
Molecule: ribosomal RNA, 79 nt
Filed under: Mesorhizobium sp. Ala-5
Lineage: Bacteria; Pseudomonadati; Pseudomonadota; Alphaproteobacteria; Hyphomicrobiales; Phyllobacteriaceae
Description: partial 23S ribosomal RNA
Source: RNAcentral